Molecule: long non-coding RNA, 148 nt
Organism: Dermochelys coriacea (leatherback sea turtle)
Lineage: Eukaryota; Metazoa; Chordata; Testudines; Dermochelyidae
Exons: 3
Source: RefSeq, a predicted model, not a curated record
UCUGUGCACCACUGUGACAGCACUGGACAGCACUCUGACCUCGGAUGCACUGGCCAGGUGUACAGGAAAAGCCCUGGGAACUUUUGAAUUCAUUUUCUGUUUGGCCAGGCGAGCUCAUCAGCUCAGAUGACCAUGCAGUCCCAGAAUC